Molecule: transfer RNA, 76 nt
Filed under: Nanobdellota archaeon
Lineage: Archaea; Nanobdellati; Nanobdellota
Description: tRNA-Ile
Rfam family: tRNA
About the family: Transfer RNA (tRNA) molecules are approximately 80 nucleotides in length. Their secondary structure includes four short double-helical elements and three loops (D, anti-codon, and T loops).
Source: RNAcentral
GGCGGUGUAGCUUAACCUGGUUUAUAGCGCCACGCUCAUAACGUGGAGGUCGGGGAUUCAAAUUCCCCCACCGCCA